UCCUAGCUGCCCUCACAAACUGCCCAACGUCUUGUCUGACCCUGGCUGGUAUAAAUUCAUGAGUAACUGUAUAGCCAAAGCUUAAACCACCCAUGGAAUAAACUGGAUGCAACUUCACUGAAGUUGAGUUGGACCAUAUCCACAGGAAGGAAUUUGCAUCAGCACAGCUAGAAUGAUGAAGUAUGAAAAUGUGGAGUUCUAUCUUUACCUCCAACCAAUGCCGAAACUCAGCCUCUGAAGUCAGCUACUGCAAUGUGCGUACUUGAUCAGACUUACUCCAGUGUAUAACAAUGAAAGCAAGAAUGAGGCCAAGCUUGGCUGUGUUCUUAGUAGAGAGAGUAUUGGGAAAGGAGAAAGUGCAUCAAGACAGAUCUUGAAUUUUGAAAAUCUUUCUUUUAGGUAAAAGUGACCUGAAAAAGUAAUGUGGCAAAUUCCAGUCACUCACCAGUGUGAGCUGAAUGCCCCCCAAGAUUCCGCAUACUUCUGCCUUGUUGUAGGUCUUUAUCUCCUUCCAUUAUGGCCAUCUGAUCCUUACUCAGAGGCAGUGUUCCAGUACACAUCCUACUGUAGCAUCAUGGCAAAACUUCAGUCAAUCCAUGGCUCUGGAUAAGUCCUGUUUGUGACAUUCUUAGUUUCUAAAGUAUAGAAAGGAACUUUAAAAAACAAAAAGCCUAUAUCCAGCUUUGAGGAGGUUCAGAACUGAAGGUCACAACUUGAUCUUUUUUAAAAAAAAGUUUAAUAAGAUACAGUCUUAAA
This is a long non-coding RNA of Dermochelys coriacea (leatherback sea turtle), 756 nucleotides long. RefSeq lists it as uncharacterized. NCBI's taxonomy places the organism in Eukaryota, Metazoa, Chordata, Testudines, Dermochelyidae. The transcript is spliced from 3 exons. The record is from RefSeq and is a predicted model, not a curated record.